GAUUGUACAUAUUCAUAUCUUAAUAUAAUAAAAAUUGAAAAAAAAAAACUACAAUAAAUGAAAGGGAUCGUAUCUUUGUCUUCAACAUAAUAUGAGCUACCACAUCACCCAAACAUGAACAAAGGGAUCGUAUCUUUGUUUGACCAACCAAAAAACAAUUGAUUCAUUGAUCUAAAAUAGUUUAUAUAACAAGAAAAAGCAAGAAAAAAAAAUCACCGUGGGAUAAGGAAAAAAAAAAUGGAGAAAGAAGCAGCCCUGAAAGUCCUUAGCAACCACAAGGUCAAUUGGGAUUCAUAAACUCCGCUCGUCAGAGUAGUUUCGCCUUUUUUUUUUUCUUGGCCAUCAAUCUGAGGUUGGUCUCAUUACCGUUUUAAGAAAGCAACCGUGAUGCUUCUAUCAAGCAAUACAAACAAGCAAACUAUUCUUUGAGAGCAUGACAGAUGUAGCCAAAUCAAGUUCACAAUUUUGCAAUCUUACCAAAGCAACAAAUCAAUAAAAUUUUCCGGAAGCUAUACGAGCACAAUUUUGGGCAGAUUUAUCUUAGAUCCUUUCCCUGAUCACACACAUAGAGCCAUUUACCUUGUGCUAGAAAAUCGUGAAAAACACAUUCUUGGACUUCUUCCAUAAACACUUGAAGCCAUUCACCUGUACUCAACUCAUGGAUGAAAAGUAGAGAUUCUAUGCUAGAUCAGGACAUUGUGUUGAUGCAAACCAGACAAGGAUGAAUGCAUUGCAGGUUCAACGCUACUCGAAGAAGCAAACAGUACGCAAGACUACAAAACAGAGUGCAGAUAUGCAGAUAUGGAGGGCAAUGACAAACAGCUUCAUAACCAUCUAGCAGAAAUGCAAAUGCCGUAGGUAGGACAGAAGCUUUGUUGCAGAAGAAUGCAGUAAAAAAGUCGCCGUAAUUUCAACAUGUGAUUCAAGCUACAAGAUCGUAGGUAGGACAGAGGCUUUGCUGCAGAAGAAUGCAGAAAAAAGUGGUGUACCCUACCAAGUUUCUGAACAUUUGUAAUUUCAACAUGGGAUUCAAGCUGAAUAACAUGCAGGGGGCGACGAGGAGAUAACGUGCAGAGAAGCAGAGACGGAGAAAAACCAUGUGCGGUAAGAGGUGAAACGAUGCCGUUUUAGCCGAAAACCACACCUCAGAACAAACACAUAAAUCAUUCAGAAACAAAUACCCCAUACAGAUUAAUACUACCAUAAUAAGUCAAGAUUAAGCAUUAUAAAAAGCAAUAAGGUUGCAAUUUAAAGUAUGAAAGAGACCUCCAAGAUUCAGUAAGCAGCUGAGACAGCAAGCCAGCCAACAACAAGUGUCCUACUCUUUAGCGGCACAAAACACUUCGAUGAAGCCAUCCAAACCAAGUUUCUAACAAGCCUCAUUGUCAGGACAAGAACAUAACUAAUAUCAACGGGUCCUAUUAGAACUACAAUAUAGCAUAUAUUGCCUCCUUUAAUGUCCUUCCAUUCUUGCUUCAGUUCGGCUUCCAGCCCUAAUCUCCAUUAGCAUAAGGUGAAUCACGACGGGCAUGACGGUAUGGAGGGGAUCCGCUGUAACUGCAACCACGGUGAGGUGAUAGGCUGCGGCGUCUUGGAGAUCUUCUACCAUGGGGGCUAUAACUCCUGCGUCCAUACCCAUAACUUGGACUCCUAUGGCGUCGUGGGCUGGGACUUCUGCGACGCCCACUUCCCAAACCUCGUGACCCAAUGCGCAAGCGGCACUCUUGAGCAAAAUGACCAGGUUCAUCGCAUUCAUAACAUUUCAAGUUGUCACCACCACGUCCUCGUCCACCACGGCCUCCACUCUUGGAAUUAUGAGAAAGCUCCACACGCCACCCAUUCUUUCCAUCUAAUGCACGAAUUGCAUCCACAGCAUCCCUGCGAUCAUCGAACUCAACAAAUGCAUAUCCUGGUGGCCUUCGUGCAACCCACACACUUCUAAGAACACCAUACAUUCUGAAUUCAUCUUCGAGAUCCCUUUCUGAGACUCUCGGAUCCAAAUUCCCCACGUAAACCCGAGCCAUUAUCACAACCAGAAUAUGCACCAACCGAUUAGAGUUUUAAAGAACCCAAGUAGAAUUGAUGGUUGCAAACAGAAAAAACAGAUUGAGCAAACGAGAAUUAGUAGCAGGCGUAAAUAAGGGUGAUGAUUCAAGGACUCGAAAAGAUGAAAAAGGGCGAUUGAAUUUAACCAUGCAGGGAAACGCGGAGCUAUUAAAACCCUAGAAAUACGCAAUGGUCCGGUUCCGGUUCCGGUUCCGGCUUGAAACAGAUUCCGGGCCGUGGCUCAUGAUCUGAAUCAGG
RNAcentral lists this unclassified non-coding RNA (2304 nucleotides) under Hevea brasiliensis (rubber tree). Lineage: Eukaryota; Viridiplantae; Streptophyta; Magnoliopsida; Malpighiales; Euphorbiaceae. The record is from RNAcentral.